UGGAAACUAGAAAAGACUUUAGACAAGU
RNAcentral lists this non-coding RNA (28 nucleotides) under Rattus norvegicus (Norway rat). Lineage: Eukaryota; Metazoa; Chordata; Mammalia; Rodentia; Muridae. The record is from RNAcentral.